GUCUUCGUGGCUCAGUUGGUUAGAGCGUCAGUCUCAUAUCAUAUAUAUGACUUGGUUGAAUACUUCAAGAUAUCUGAAGGUCGUGAGUUCGAGCCUCACCGAGGACA
RNAcentral lists this transfer RNA (107 nucleotides) under Pestalotiopsis fici W106-1. It matches the Rfam family "tRNA". From Rfam's summary of the family: Transfer RNA (tRNA) molecules are approximately 80 nucleotides in length. Their secondary structure includes four short double-helical elements and three loops (D, anti-codon, and T loops). The record is from Rfam by way of RNAcentral. Lineage: Eukaryota; Fungi; Ascomycota; Sordariomycetes; Amphisphaeriales; Sporocadaceae.